This 218-nucleotide long non-coding RNA is filed under the name Prunus persica (peach). RNAcentral's name for it is "long non-coding RNA (PPER_LNC008273)". Lineage: Eukaryota; Viridiplantae; Streptophyta; Magnoliopsida; Rosales; Rosaceae. The record is from RNAcentral.
UAUGAAGAGAAUUGCUGGCGGAUUUUAUUGAAGAAUUGAUUGUGGGAUUAUUGUGAUUAUAAAGAGAAGUAAAGAGGGAAAAGAGAAGACAAAACCGUUGAAGUUAAAGAGCUUGUUUCAUGUCAUUCAUAGCCAUUUAACACCAACUUACCUCACCAUUAUUUCUUUUCCAUUAACUCUCCACCAUCAACACAUGUUUAAUCAAAUUAAUCCCUCAC